AUUAAUCGUUUUAUGCUGCUUUUUCUUAUUUAGUGACAUGUCCACUAGAAAGUAUUUAUCCGGUAGUAAUAAAAGGAAGAGAAAAAAGCAAAUAGAUGAAGGGGUAAAAUCCCUAAAGGGAGCACUUGACAAAUUUUUCAGAACUAGUAUUGAGAAAGAUAAGUUAGAUGACAUAAAUAUUGAUGCAAUAAUCGACGACUUUGCUUCUAGAAUUGAUAGACGAAUUUCCAAGUUCUAGUAUAGACGUGAAAUCAGUUUGCUUUACAAUGCCUUGUGCAAGAAUGUUUGGAAGAAUUGAGUUAUUAUCUGAUUGAGGAAAUUUGGAGUGAAGGACAUGGCCAAUUGGGGAGGAUCCAUAAACAGAUGCAAUUUUAUCUGAUGGUAACACAAAAGAUCUAAGUAGCAACCAAUCUUGACAGGAUUUUUUGUUUUGCAGAACAAAAUGAAGUCUCCUUUCAAAUUUAGGAAUGCGGGCUUUUGUGGAAAGAGAGCUUUUGUCGAACUGCAUCAUUUCAUUACUAUCAUGGUGUAGUUCACUUGAUCAUUUCAUUUCAAAUUGUACUGUCAGUUUUAGAGUCCAAAUAAAGAUCAUCUGGCUAUGUUGUGUACUGGAUAUUUACUUUGCUUUUGAAAUAGAAAAUGUUUUGAGUUUUUG
RNAcentral lists this long non-coding RNA (655 nucleotides) under Triticum aestivum (bread wheat). Its description in RNAcentral is "long non-coding RNA (TAES_LNC016759)". The record is from RNAcentral. Lineage: Eukaryota; Viridiplantae; Streptophyta; Magnoliopsida; Poales; Poaceae.